This 346-nucleotide RNase P RNA is filed under the name Balneicella halophila. Its description in RNAcentral is "Bacterial RNase P class A". It matches the Rfam family "Bacterial RNase P class A". Rfam says of the family: Ribonuclease P (RNase P) is a ubiquitous endoribonuclease, found in archaea, bacteria and eukarya as well as chloroplasts and mitochondria. Its best characterised activity is the generation of mature 5'-ends of tRNAs by cleaving the 5'-leader elements of precursor-tRNAs. The record is from Rfam by way of RNAcentral. Lineage: Bacteria; Pseudomonadati; Bacteroidota; Bacteroidia; Bacteroidales; Balneicellaceae.
CAAGCAGGUCGUUCUAUCGCUACAGAUGUAGAGGAAAGUCCGGGCAAUACAGAGUACCGUCCUUCUUAACGGGAAGAUAGGCGCGAGCUUAUAGUCGUAUGGAAGAAAACAACCGCCCUUCGGGGUAAGGGUGAGAACGUGAGGUAAGAGCUCACGCACAGUUUUGGUGACAAGGCUGUGGCAUGCCUGACGGAUUGCAAGACCAUGUACACCAGCAAUUAAGGUUUACUCGACCGUUGUUGGGGGGUAGGUUGCUAGAGACUGUCGGUGACGGCAUUCCGAGAUAAAUGAUAGAACCAUUGUUUCGACAAAUGGACAGAACCCGGCUUAUAGACUUGCUUGUUUU